UCUCUGGUGACGGUGACGAUGUGAUGCUUCUAUUUCACAGGUUGAGUUGCAAGGCUCUGAGCAAACAGCCUGCUAGCCAUUCAAGGAAGGUCACAAAUCACAGAUGCAAAGAGGCUACUCAGAUGGCAAGCUGGGAGGGACAAAGAAAAUGGUCUCAUCAAAGUCCUAUGGCAACUAGGCACCAUCAAGACAACAUGUGGUAUAGCUCACUCAAGAUGACCAUUGGGAAUAAGAAAGAGAAACAGCAGACUCGGGCCUGGGAGGCAGAUCUGGAUCUAGAAAUCAGAGACGGAAGAAGUUUGAUUCAGCUCCUGGCCUUGGAGAAGCAAGCUUUCACUAGUCUUAUAGCGGCAAGUCCAUAGCUUGCAAGGAACUAAAUUCACCCAACAAACACGUGAGCUUGGAAGAAGACCUCACCCUCCGAUGAGACCUUCAGCCCCAGCCAACACCUUGACUGCAGCCUUGUGGGCCCCUGAGCAGAGAACCCAGUCAAGCUGUAUCAGACUCUUGACCCAUGGGAAAUAUGAGAUAAUAAAUGGGUGUUGUUUAAAACCUCUAAA
Non-coding RNA from Sus scrofa (pig), 560 nucleotides. Lineage: Eukaryota; Metazoa; Chordata; Mammalia; Artiodactyla; Suidae. The record is from RefSeq and is a predicted model, not a curated record.